This 253-nucleotide ribosomal RNA is filed under the name uncultured bacterium. Its description in RNAcentral is "partial 16S ribosomal RNA". It matches the Rfam family "Bacterial small subunit ribosomal RNA", at positions 524 to 776 of the family's 1533-position model. The record is from RNAcentral.
UACGGGGGGGGCAAGCGUUGUUCGGAAUUACUGGGCGUAAAGGGCUCGUAGGCGGCCAACUAAGUCGGACGUGAAAUCCCCAGGCUCAACCCGGGAACUGCGUCCGAUACUGGAUGGCUUGAAUUCGGGAGAGGGAUGCAGAAUUCCAGGUGUAGCGGUGAAAUGCGUAGAUAUCUGGAGGAAUACCGGUGGCGAAGGCGGCAUCCUGGACCGACAUUGACGCUGAGGAGCGAAAGCUAGGGGAGCAAACGGG